RNAcentral lists this microRNA (23 nucleotides) under Equus caballus (horse). RNAcentral describes it as "eca-miR-9055". Lineage: Eukaryota; Metazoa; Chordata; Mammalia; Perissodactyla; Equidae. The record is from miRBase by way of RNAcentral.
AGAGAGCACCAAGGGAGCUGCGU